This is an RNA transcript of Gossypium raimondii (Peruvian cotton), 1969 nucleotides long. It is a transcript of the gene named probable thylakoidal processing peptidase 2, chloroplastic, with no coding region annotated. Lineage: Eukaryota; Viridiplantae; Streptophyta; Magnoliopsida; Malvales; Malvaceae. The transcript has 6 exons. The record is from RefSeq and is a predicted model, not a curated record.
UGUAGACGCUAUUUAACUUUUGCCUCCCCAAAAAUCGCAAACCCCGUCCCUCUCCAGCUGAGCCUGGUUCCCUCUUCUUGGAAGAGCCGACGAAGCUCAGGUUUCCCACAAUCUCCACCGUCCUUUCCCUGAAAUAAACCCCACCUCGCUCCACAAUUUAAAAAAUCGCUUCCUUUUCUCUUCCACUGACCUAGCCCAACUCUCCAAUUCCCCGCUCUCGUCUCUCCUUCACUGAUCACCUACUCCAAAAUGGUUUUCAUUUGCUGUUAGUGUUUUUAAGAUCAACCCUUUUCGUUUCCGGACCCAGUCUGUUCCCUAUCUUAAUUUACUUUUUCCAAAUCCUAAAUAUGGCUAUCCGUGUCACCUUCACUUACUCCGGCUACGUUGCCCAGAACCUUGCCUCCACCGCCGGCUUCCGUCUCGGCUCAUGCUCCUCUCGCUCCGCCCAUGAAUGCUGGCUCCGUUCCCGUUUCCUUUCCCCAAACAAAAAGGCCGACAUCGACUCUUCCCCUCCCCGUACCUACCAUUCCGCUGCCGAUCUGCGCCACCCUCGGUCGGGCAUGUACUCUACCCUGGCCGCCGAGAUCCUCAAUGACGGUUGCAAGAAUCCAAUUAUUGUGGGUUUGAUCUCUCUGAUAAAGUCAACGACAUAUGGUUCUUGUUCCCCGGUCACCACCAUGGGAAUUGCGUCUUUUAAAGCCACUUCGAUUAUCCCUUUCUUGCAGGGAUCGAAGUGGCUUCCGUGCAAUGAACCGACUCCUGGCGGACUGGAGAGUAUUGAGGUGGAUAGAGGAGGAACAACAAGCAAUGAUGGCCGAAAUUUGAGCUUGGAGUUGGAUCCCAAAGCGCUUGCUAAAAGCAGUUGGAUUUCGAGGGUGUUAAACGUUUGCUCCGAAGAUGCCAAGGCUGCUUUUACCGUUUUAACUGUUAAUUUACUGUUCCGGUCGUUUAUGGCCGAGCCAAGGUCAAUUCCGUCGGCUUCUAUGUACCCUACUUUGGGUGUUGGCGACCGCAUUUUGGCUGAGAAGGUUUCAUAUUUCUUUAGAGAGCCUGAAGUUUCCGAUAUUGUUAUAUUCAGGGCACCUCCUAUCUUGCAGGAAUAUGGAUACAGUUCAAAUGAUGUUUUCAUUAAAAGGAUAGUUGCUAAGGCUGGGGAUUGUGUUGAAGCUCGUGAUGGCAAAUUGUUUAUAAACGGCGUUGCACAAGAUGAAGAUUUUGUUCUAGAGCCAUUAGCUUACAAAAUGGAUCCAAUGGUUGUGCCUGAAGGUUAUGUUUUCGUGUUGGGGGAUAAUCGCAACAACAGUUUUGAUUCCCAUUACUGGUAAUUCAAAAUUUUCAACAUUAUACUAAUGGCUAUUUGGUUUUUAGAAUGCAUUGGAAAAGCCAUGAAAGCAAAAGAUGCAACACGGUUCUUCAACCUAACAAAAAGAAUGGGUCCACUUCCCAUCGAAAACAUUGUGGGUAGAUCUGUAUUUCGCUAUUGGCCUCCAUCCAAAGUUUCAGCCACUAUAUAUGACUCGAAUGUGGGGAAGAAUGCUGUAGCAGUUUCUUGACACCUGAAAUAACUUGAAAGACUUUAUGUGAGUCUGAGCUGCAGCGAAUUCGCACCUGGAUUUAUUGCCAUCGUGCAUGUUUUAUUAUGGAUAAUCCAUUCAUCAUAUUCGUUGUUUUUGUAAAUUUAUUGACGGCCAAUUGUAGGCCACUCACAAUUUUUCCUGUAAUUAGAGUGUCAAAUUUUCUUUGACAAGGAUUUGGGCAUCCCUUUUGUACUGAACUGAAUUGAGAAUAAUCUGAGGUCUUAAGCUGAGUAAAAGCAGAGAUAGGAGAUUGUUGAAGAAAGGGGUUAGGUGAUGGUCAAUGUUUGUGCAGGCUGAUUCCCAACUUUGGUGGGCCUGUGAAUGUAAUGUCAAUCCCAUAUUUGGAUUAUGAACUUUGUCUUCAUUUGUAAUAAGGAAAAUACCUUUGUCUU